UGGGGAAUAUUGGACAAUGGGCGCAAGCCUGAUCUAGCCAUGCCGCGUGGGUGAUGAAGGCCUUAGGGUUGUAAAUCCCUUUCGGCGGGGAAGAUAAUGACGGUACCCGCAGAAGCAGCCCCGGCUAACUUCGUGCCAGCAGCCGCGGUAAUACGAAGGGGGUUAGCGUUGCUCGGAAUCACUGGGCGUAAAGCGCGCGUAGGCGGGUCGCUAAGUCAGGGGUGAAAUCCUGGAGCUCAACUCCAGAACUGCCUUUGAUACUGACGACCUUGAGUCCGAGAGAGGUGAGUGGAAUUCCGAGUGUAGAGGUGAAAUUCGUAGAUAUUCGGAGGAACACCAGUGGCGAAGGCGGCUCACUGGCUCGAUACUGACGCUGAGGUGCGAAAGCAUGGGGAGCAAACA
This 402-nucleotide ribosomal RNA is filed under the name uncultured prokaryote. Its description in RNAcentral is "bacterial SSU rRNA". It matches the Rfam family "Bacterial small subunit ribosomal RNA", at positions 355 to 774 of the family's 1533-position model. The record is from RNAcentral.